AGUCUGUUGGAGGUGUAUGGUAGUCUGUGGGAGGAGUAAGGUGGUCUGUGGGAGGUGUAAGGUAGUCUGUUGGAGGUGUAAGCUAGUCUGUUGGAGGUGUAAGGUAGUCUGUUGGAGGUGUAAGGUAGUUUGUGGGAGGUGUAAGGUAGUCUGUUGGAGGUGUAAGGUAGUCUGUUGGAGGUGUAAGGUAGUUUGUGGGAGGUGUAAGGUAGUCUGUUGGAGGUGAAAGGUAGUCUGUGGGAGGUGUAAGGUAGUCUAUUGGAGGUGUAAGGUAGUCUGUUGGAGGUGUAAGGUAGUCUGUGGGAGGUGUAAGGUAGUCUGAUGGAGGUGUAAGGUAGUCUGAUGGAGGUGUAAGGUAGUCUGUGGGAGGUGUAAGGUAGUCUGUUGGAGGUGUAAGGUAGUCUGUUGGAGGUGUAAGUUAGUCUGUGGGAGGUGAAAGGUAGUCUGUUGGAGGUGUAAGGUAGUCUGUUGGAGGUGUAAGUUAGUCUGUGGGAGGUGUAAGGUAGUCUGUGGGAGGUGUAAGGUAGUCUGAUGGAGGUGUAAGGUAGUCUGUUGGAGGUGUAAGGUAGUCUGUGGGAGGUGUAAG
Esox lucius (northern pike) is the source of this 586-nucleotide long non-coding RNA. NCBI's taxonomy places the organism in Eukaryota, Metazoa, Chordata, Actinopteri, Esociformes, Esocidae. The record is from Ensembl.